RNAcentral lists this ribosomal RNA (253 nucleotides) under uncultured bacterium. RNAcentral describes it as "partial 16S ribosomal RNA". It matches the Rfam family "Bacterial small subunit ribosomal RNA", at positions 524 to 776 of the family's 1533-position model. The record is from RNAcentral.
GACAGAGGGUGCAAACGUUGUUCGGAAUUACUGGGCGUAAAGCGCGUGUAGGCAGCUCGGAAAGUCGGAUGUGAAAGCCCUGGGCUUAACCUAGGAAGUGCAUUCGAAACUUCCGAGCUGGAGUGCUGGAGAGGAAGGCGGAAUUCUCGGUGUAGAGGUGAAAUUCGUAGAUAUCGAGAGGAACACCGGUGGCGAAGGCGGCCUUCUGGACAGUCACUGACGCUGAGACGCGAAAGCGUGGGGAGCAAACAGG